UCGUANGAUGAACCGCUUUCGGGCGGGGAUUAGUGGCAAACNGGUGAGUAACACGUGGGCAAUCUGCCCUGCACUCUGGGACAAGCCCUGGAAACGGGGUCUAAUACCGGAUAUGACUGUCCAUCGCAUGGUGGAUGGUGUAAAGCUCCGGCGGUGCAGGAUGAGCCCGCGGCCUAUCAGCUUGUUGGUGAGGUAGUGGCUCACCAAGGCGACGACGGGUAGCCGGCCUGAGAGGGCGACCGGCCACACUGGGACUGAGACACGGCCCAGACUCCUACGGGAGGCAGCAGUGGGGAAUAUUGCACAAUGGGCGAAAGCCUGAUGCAGCGACGCCGCGUGAGGGAUGACGGCCUUCGGGUUGUAAACCUCUUUCAGCAGGGAAGAAGCGAAAGUGACGGUACCUGCAGAAGAAGCGCCGGCUAACUACGUGCCAGCAGCCGCGGUAAUACGUAGGGCGCAAGCGUUGUCCGGAAUUAUUGGGCGUAAAGAGCUCGUAGGCGGCUUGUCACGUCGGUUGUGAAAGCCCGGGGCUUAACCCCGGGUCUGCAGUCGAUACGGGCAGGCUAGAGUUCGGUAGGGGAGAUCGGAAUUCCUGGUGUAGCGGUGAAAUGCGCAGAUAUCAGGAGGAACACCGGUGGCGAAGGCGGAUCUCUGGGCCGAUACUGACGCUGAGGAGCGAAAGCGUGGGGGAGCGAACAGGAUUAGAUACCCCUGGUAGUCCACCCCGUAAACGGUGGGCACUAGGUGUGGGCAACAUUCCACGUUGUCCGUGCCGCAACUAACGCAUUAAGUGCCCCGCCUGGGGAGUACGGCCGCAAGGCUAAAACUCAAAGGAAUUGACGGGGGGCCCGCACAAGCGGCGGAGCAUGUGGCUUAAUUCGACGCAACGCGAAGAACCUUACCAAGGCUUGACAUACACCGGAAACGUCUGGAGACAGGCGCCCCCUUGUGGUCGGUGUACAGGUGGUGCAUGGCUGUCGUCAGCUCGUGUCGUGAGAUGUUGGGUUAAGUCCCGCAACGAGCGCAACCCUUGUCCCGUGUUGCCAGCAGGCCCUUGUGGUGCUGGGGACUCACGGGAGACCGCCGGGGUCAACUCGGAGGAAGGUGGGGACGACGUCAAGUCAUCAUGCCCCUUAUGUCUUGGGCUGCACACGUGCUACAAUGGCCGGUACAAUGAGCUGCGAUACCGCGAGGUGGAGCGAAUCUCAAAAAGCCGGUCUCAGUUCGGAUUGGGGUCUGCAACUCGACCCCAUGAAGUCGGAGUCGCUAGUAAUCGCAGAUCAGCAUUGCUGCGGUGAAUACGUUCCCGGGCCUUGUACACACCGCCCGUCACGUCACGAAAUUCNUUAACAUCCCGNACACCGGUGGCCCAACCCNUUGUAGG
RNAcentral lists this ribosomal RNA (1384 nucleotides) under Streptomyces sp. LaPpAH178. Its description in RNAcentral is "bacterial SSU rRNA". It matches the Rfam family "Bacterial small subunit ribosomal RNA". Lineage: Bacteria; Bacillati; Actinomycetota; Actinomycetes; Kitasatosporales; Streptomycetaceae. The record is from RNAcentral.